GUGCUCGCUUCGGCAGCACAUAUACUAAAAUUGGAAUGAUACAGAAAAGAUUAGCAUGGCCCCUGCACAAGGAUGACACACAAAUUUGUGAAGUGUUCCAUAUUUUU
RNAcentral lists this small nuclear RNA (107 nucleotides) under Mus spicilegus (steppe mouse). The record is from RNAcentral. Lineage: Eukaryota; Metazoa; Chordata; Mammalia; Rodentia; Muridae.